CCUACGGGUGGCUGCAGUGGGGGAUAUUGCACAAUGGGGGGAACCCUGAUGCAGCGACGCCGCGUGGGUGAAGAAGCGCCUCGGCGCGUAAAGCCCUGUCAGCAGGGAAGAAAAUGACGGUAACUGAAGAAGAAGCUCCGGCUAAAUACGUGCCAGAAGCUGCGGGAAUACGUAGGGGCCAAGCGUUAUCCGGGUUUACUGGGGGUAAAGGAGGCGCAGACGGCGAUGCAAGCCAGGGGUGAAAGCCCGGGGCCCAAACCCGGGACCGCUCUUGAUACUGCGUGGCUGGAGUGCAGGAGGGGUAGGCGGAAUUCUUGGUGAAGCGGUGGAAUGCGUAGAUAUCAGGAGGAACACCGGUGGCGAAGGCAGUCUGCUGGACUGCAACUGACGUUGAGGCCCGAAAGCGUGGGGAGCAAACAGGAUUAGAUACCCGUGUAGUC
RNAcentral lists this ribosomal RNA (440 nucleotides) under uncultured bacterium. RNAcentral describes it as "partial 16S ribosomal RNA". It matches the Rfam family "Bacterial small subunit ribosomal RNA", at positions 338 to 795 of the family's 1533-position model. The record is from RNAcentral.